GACGAACGCUGGCGGCGUGCUUAACACAUGCAAGUCGAACGGAAAGGCCCUGCUUUUGUGGGGUGCUCGAGUGGCGAACGGGUGAGUAACACGUGAGUAACCUGCCCUUGACUUUGGGAUAACUUCAGGAAACUGGGGCUAAUACCGGAUAGGAGCUCCUGCUGCAUGGUGGGGGUUGGAAAGUUUCGGCGGUUGGGGAUGGACUCGCGGCUUAUCAGCUUGUUGGUGGGGUAGUGGCUUACCAAGGCUUUGACGGGUAGCCGACCUGAGAGGGUGACCGGCCAGAUUGGGACUGAGAGACGCCCAAGCCUCCGAGGGGAGGCGGAGGUGGGGAUUUUGGAAAAAGGGCCGGAACCCUAACGAAGCACCCCCGGGGGGGGGAGAGGGGCUUUGGGUUUGUAACCGGCUUCCCCCUGGGACGAGGCGGGAGUGAGGUUAGGGUAAAAAGAACCCCGGCCUAACUAGGUC
RNAcentral lists this ribosomal RNA (468 nucleotides) under uncultured bacterium. RNAcentral's name for it is "partial 16S ribosomal RNA". It matches the Rfam family "Bacterial small subunit ribosomal RNA", at positions 28 to 507 of the family's 1533-position model. The record is from RNAcentral.